This 97-nucleotide small RNA is filed under the name uncultured Enterovibrio sp. RNAcentral's name for it is "Alpha operon ribosome binding site". It matches the Rfam family "Alpha operon ribosome binding site". From Rfam's summary of the family: The bacterial alpha operon ribosome binding site is surrounded by this complex pseudoknotted structure. Translation of the mRNA produces 4 ribosomal protein products, one of which (S4) acts as a translational repressor by binding to the nested pseudoknot region. The record is from RNAcentral. Lineage: Bacteria; Pseudomonadati; Pseudomonadota; Gammaproteobacteria; Vibrionales; Vibrionaceae.
CGCCGCUGCGUAUCCGAAACGGGCUUUGCAGCGGUUUUUCUAGAAAAAGCACUAGGAGUGAAUAGUGGCCCGUAUUGCAGGCAUUAACAUUCCUGAU